RNAcentral lists this ribosomal RNA (497 nucleotides) under Acanthodactylus boskianus (Bosk's fringe-fingered lizard). Its description in RNAcentral is "partial 16S ribosomal RNA". It matches the Rfam family "Bacterial large subunit ribosomal RNA", at positions 1856 to 2603 of the family's 2925-position model. Lineage: Eukaryota; Metazoa; Chordata; Lepidosauria; Squamata; Lacertidae. The record is from RNAcentral.
CGCCUGCCUAGUGACUUACACUUUAAACGGCCGCGGUAUCCUAACCGUGCAAAGGUAGCAUAAUCACUUGUCCUCUAAAUAAGGACUAGAAUGAACGGCUAAAUGAAGACCCAACUGUCUCUUGCAGCCUACCAAUGAAACUGAUCUCUUAGUCCAAAAGCUAAGAUUUCUUCACAAGACGAGAAGACCCUGUGGAGCUAUUAAACCAAACUCACAAAAAUGACCCCUUGGUUUUCAGUUGGGGCGACUUCGGAGCAUAAAAAACCCUCCGACACAAACCAAUAAACCUAGAUGGACACAUCAGCACUCCAAGACCCAGUAGCCUGUUUUCAAACUACCUGAUCAAUGAACCAAGUUACCCCAGGGAUAACAGCGCCAUCCUCUCUUAGAGUCCAUAUCGACGAGAGGGCUUACGACCUCGAUGUUGGAUCAGGACACCCCAAUAGUGCAACCGCUAUUAAUGGUUCGUUUGUUCAACGAUUAAUAGUCCUACGUGA